GCUGGGCCUGGUGGCAUGUACUUGUAGUCCCAGCUACUUGGGAGGCUGAGGCAGGAGGAUCUACAUGAGUCCAGGAGUUAUAGGUCAGCCUGGGCAACACAGUGACACUCUAUCUUUU
Molecule: small RNA, 118 nt
Filed under: Marmota monax (woodchuck)
Lineage: Eukaryota; Metazoa; Chordata; Mammalia; Rodentia; Sciuridae
Source: RNAcentral